This 2509-nucleotide long non-coding RNA is filed under the name Mus musculus (house mouse). RNAcentral describes it as "long non-coding RNA chr12:40760953-40763462". Lineage: Eukaryota; Metazoa; Chordata; Mammalia; Rodentia; Muridae. The record is from RNAcentral.
UCAAACUCUGUACAAGGCUGUUACACCUUUAAAAGUUGUAGCAACUUUGCAGAUGUUCUAAGUGGUGGAAAUGUGUUCUUAGCUGCCUCUGCUCUGUCCCUUGUUCUCAGUCAUCUACCUACUCUGUGAUGCUUGGCAGGGUAUCUCUGUGUUUAUGAUCUCAGGAUUCCUUUUCCAUUUUGGCUUCAUAAGCCAGUUUCUAUUUUGUGCCAUCUUAAUACAUGAUCAUCUUUAAACACAAAGUACUCUGCAUAUAACAUAGAAAAAAAUUCAGCACAAAUUUAAUUCUCUACAUUGUGCAUAGAGCCAACCAAGGCUUCCAUGUUGCCCUUAAAGUAAAUUCCAAACUCCUUACCAUAGGAAAGGAAGGAGAUUAUUGUCUGUCUUAACAAAACAAAACAAAACUCCCUGAUUACUUAGCUUUUAUUUAUAUAUUCUUUAUCGUAAUUUCUGUAUCUUUAAUUUAUUCCUAGUUCCAUUUUAUACCCAUAUUUUGCCGCUACCCUUUACAAUCCUGAUACCUGGUGCUGCCUCUGGCAGGUGUUCCCUUGGUAUGACAAACCUAACCGUCUGGGCUCUCUUAGUUAAUAGAGCUUGCAUCCAUCCACAUGAGCGUUGGUUAACAUCCAUCUAGCUAUACUACUGAUCCAUGAGUUCUAUGAACAAUGAGAAAAUCUAUCAGUUUGAGCACAGUAAUAAUAAACUCAGAGUCACUAGUUAGGUAUCAGUGUUACAUUGAGACAGAAAUCUGUAGAACACCUUGUUUUUUGUCAUUUGACCAAGAUUAAGCCCAUAUUUAGACUCUCUCCUUUGCUGUCUGUGUGUCUUCUUGUAGCUCUAGUCUGCCAGUUGUAUGAGUCUAGAUAUCUGCCUGAAGUAGAGAUCUUUUAAGUCUGCCCCUGUGUCUGAAUCUGGGUCUAUGUCUAUGUUGGAGUAUCUGUCUCUAGCAAAGGGCUUUGCUCUCCCUCUCUUUUCUUAGACAGCACAGAAAGUAUUACACUGGGGAAAGGAAUGAGGGACACUUUCCAGAAAUGUUUAAUAGCAGAGUUUUACAAGAGGUUAUAUCACCAACUCCAACUGACUCCAACACUAUAAAGAAAUAUUCACAUGUUGCAUUCAACAUUUAUAGUGGAUAUUCAUUUUAUAAGGUCUCUUUCAUCCUAUUUGCUGUCUUCAUCAAGUGAUCAUAACACGUACACACAUGCAUUGCUCAUGUGUCAGGAGCAUGCAAGAUCAUAUAAUUUGAGAUUAUAGCUAUUGUAAAUGUAGAUUACACGAUAAAUCCAAGGCAAGUAAAGUUAUCGUUAUACUUUUCUGUUAAAGGUACAUUAAAUAAAUACUCUGAGUACAUAAUAGGAUAGCGGUCUUAAGGCUUAAGUGACCUUAGGGUAUAUUAUAAAUUUCAUUAGUGAAGUCCAGCAAAAGUUCCAGUUUCUUAAAAUGUAAGAGGUAUUUUUGCAAAGCAUUACCACAAGAAAGUGCUGUACUUAAAUGUCUUGUUUUGGCACAUCACAAGUACUUCUUAAAUCCUCCUGUUUCAUUAACUAAUGUACUGUGUCUUAACUAACCAGAAUUACUGGAAUCUAACACAGUCCUGGACACACAGUAAAAGAUCCAAUAUUCUUUUUUUUAAGACCCAAUGUUCUUAAGUGAGCAAAUGGAGAGAAGUUUUUAAGUCAUAGCAACCUUCCCUGCCUUCCUGUCUGUUUGAACGUGGGCCUUUUCUUGUUUAAAGACUUUCUUACCUGAGCCUCUUAUGCUACUGGGGGAAAACAUUCCCCAAAGAAAACCUCCCAAUUCCUUUUUUGUUUUGAGCAAUCUGAAGAGUGAUGGUGGUCCAGUUACCAUGUUGUGUAUAUUACAUAACCAAACAGAUACACGGAAGCACUCUGCCAGGAUGCCAGUUUUCAAAUGGUGCCAUGUGAAGCCCUUGUUCUUGGUUCUAACCUAGUAAGGAUUAUUAGACACAGAAAUAUUCUUUUUAGUAGUAUAAAAAAAAUAGAAAGAAUCUGUAAGUUACAUGUGUAGAAUGCUGGUAGCUGCCUGUACAAAAGCUUGACCAUAGGGAAAGAGCCAGGGCUGAGAAGUAUAGAAUAUACUAGGAAGCAACAGUGUACUGGGGCAGGAAGGAGGAAGGCACAGGAAAGCCAACAAGUGGGUUCUCUGCACUCCACAAUGCUAGAGCUGAUUAUGAAGCACAGUCUCCCAAAAGGCAGGAGGCAAAUACUUGCUAAAGCACAUUGUAUCUCAGGACCACAGUAGAUUGUGCUCUGGUUAUCACCCUGUGGUCAAAGGAAGCAGUAGACUGCAGUUUCGGAAAAAGAAAAAUAGCAGGGUACUAUAUGAAAUGUGUGUGUGUGUGUGUGUGUGUGUGUGUGUGUGUGUUAAUGUUUCUUCAAAACAUCAUGAGAGCUCAACUCCUCAAAGAUUGAAUUAGUUCCAAGGUCAUUGGGCUACUUGUUUAAUUGCUCAGCCAGAAUUAAAAUCUAUAUUUUUCUGAUUCUCAAUU